RNAcentral lists this unclassified non-coding RNA (151 nucleotides) under soil metagenome. RNAcentral describes it as "partial internal transcribed spacer 1". The record is from RNAcentral.
GCGAGUAUGGCCCUCACGGGUCUAAUCCACCAUGAACACCUUUGUGAACCAGUCAGGGGGACUCGGCCGUGAAAGCCCAGGCGAUUAGCGGAAGGGCCCUCCUUUGCAAACCCGUUUAGAAGUCUUGAAAGUACUUUUGUAUAAUCUAGUA